AAACUUAUCUGGCAGGGGAGAUACCAUGAUCAUGAAGGUGGUUUUCCCAUUGCGAGACUUAUCCAUCGUACUCUGGAUGUGCUGACCCCUGCGAUUUCCCAUUAAAAAAAAAAGUAUGAAAAUAAAUGAGCUAGACAUCUACUAUCAC
This 148-nucleotide small nuclear RNA is filed under the name Callithrix jacchus (white-tufted-ear marmoset). Its description in RNAcentral is "U1 spliceosomal RNA (ENSCJAG00000066904.2)". It matches the Rfam family "U1 spliceosomal RNA", at positions 1 to 107 of the family's 166-position model. From Rfam's summary of the family: U1 is a small nuclear RNA (snRNA) component of the spliceosome (involved in pre-mRNA splicing). Its 5' end forms complementary base pairs with the 5' splice junction, thus defining the 5' donor site of an intron. The record is from RNAcentral. Lineage: Eukaryota; Metazoa; Chordata; Mammalia; Primates; Cebidae.